RNAcentral lists this ribosomal RNA (253 nucleotides) under uncultured bacterium. RNAcentral's name for it is "partial 16S ribosomal RNA". It matches the Rfam family "Bacterial small subunit ribosomal RNA", at positions 524 to 776 of the family's 1533-position model. The record is from RNAcentral.
UACGUAGGGGGCAAGCGUUGUCCGGAUUUAUUGGGCGUAAAGAGCGUGUAGGCGGUCAGGUAGGUCCGUUGUGAAAACUCGAGGCUCAACCUCGAGACGCCGAUGGAAACCAUCUGACUAGAGUCCGGAAGAGGAGAGUGGAAUUCCUGGUGUAGCGGUGAAAUUCGUAGAUAUUCGGAAGAACACCAGUGGCGAAGGCGACUUACUGGACACAUAUUGACGCUGAGGUGCGAAAGCGUGGGGAGCAAACAGG